Molecule: ribosomal RNA, 226 nt
Filed under: uncultured Lactobacillus sp.
Lineage: Bacteria; Bacillati; Bacillota; Bacilli; Lactobacillales; Lactobacillaceae
Description: partial 16S ribosomal RNA
Rfam family: Bacterial small subunit ribosomal RNA
Source: RNAcentral
AUCGGGAUAACCACCUGGAAACAGAUGCUAAUACCGGAUAACAACAGAUGAUGCCUAUCAACUGUUUAAAAGAUGGUUCUGCUAUCACUCUUGGAUGGACCUGCGGUGCAUUAGCUAGUUGGUAGGGUAACGGCCUACCAAGGCGAUGAUGCAUAGCCGAGUUGAGAGACUGAUCGGCCACAUUGGGACUGAGACACGGCCCAAACUCCUACGGGAGGCAGCAGGA